GACCCACUAGCUCAGUAGGUAGAGCACCUGACUUUUAAUCAGGGUGUCGAUGGUUCGAGUCCAUCGUGGGUCACCA
RNAcentral lists this transfer RNA (76 nucleotides) under Thermosinus thermophiluss DSM 23256. RNAcentral's name for it is "Sporolituus thermophilus DSM 23256 tRNA_Lys_TTT". It matches the Rfam family "tRNA". Rfam says of the family: Transfer RNA (tRNA) molecules are approximately 80 nucleotides in length. The record is from RNAcentral. Lineage: Bacteria; Bacillati; Bacillota; Negativicutes; Selenomonadales; Sporomusaceae.